UAAAAAGUCCUUUAAACAC
This 19-nucleotide transfer RNA is filed under the name Ingerophrynus biporcatus (Sunda ridge-headed toad). RNAcentral's name for it is "partial tRNA-Phe". The record is from RNAcentral. Lineage: Eukaryota; Metazoa; Chordata; Amphibia; Anura; Bufonidae. RNAcentral also lists the same sequence under 2 other names.